UGUGAGCUCGAUGAGUAGGGCGGGACACGUGGUAUCCUGUCUGAAUAUGGGGGGACCAUCCUCCAAGGCUAAAUACUCCUGACUGACCGAUAGUGAACCAGUACCGUGAGGGAAAGGCGAAAAGAACCCCGGCGAGGGGAGUGAAAAAGAACCUGAAACCGUGUACGUACAAGCAGUGGGAGCACGCUUAGGCGUGUGACUGCGUACCUUUUGUAUAAUGGGUCAGCGACUUAUAUUCUGUAGCAAGGUUAACCGAAUAGGGGAGCCGAAGGGAAACCGAGUCUUAACUGGGCGUUAAGUUGCAGGGUAUAGACCCGAAACCCGGUGAUCUAGCCAUGGGCAGGUUGAAGGUUGGGUAACACUAACUGGAGGACCGAACCGACUAAUGUUGAAAAAUUAGCGGAUGACUUGUGGCUGGGGGUGAAAGGCCAAUCAAACCGGGAGAUAGCUGGUUCUCCCCGAAAGCUAUUUAGGUAGCGCCUCGUGAAUUCAUCUCCGGGGGUAGAGCACUGUUUCGGCAAGGGGGUCAUCCCGACUUACCAACCCGAUGCAAACUGCGAAUACCGGAGAAUGUUAUCACGGGAGACACACGGCGGGUGCUAACGUCCGUCGUGAAGAGGGAAACAACCCAGACCGCCAGCUAAGGUCCCAAAGUCAUGGUUAAGUGGGAAACGAUGUGGGAAGGCCCAGACAGCCAGGAUGUUGGCUUAGAAGCAGCCAUCAUUUAAAGAAAGCGUAAUAGCUCACUGGUCGAGUCGGCCUGCGCGGAAGAUGUAACGGGGCUAAACCAUGCACCGAAGCUGCGGCAGCGACAGAAGGUGUGCUGUGAGGCAUGCUGGAGGUAUCAGAAGUGCGAAUGCUGACAUAAGUAACGAUAAAGCGGGUGAAAAGCCCGCUCGCCGGAAGACCAAGGGUUCCUGUCCAACGUUAAUCGGGGCAGGGUGAGUCGACCCCUAAGGCGAGGCCGAAAGGCGUAGUCGAUGGGAAACAGGUUAAUAUUCCUGUACUUGGUGUUACUGCGAAGGGGGGACGGAGAAGGCUAUGUUGGCCGGGCGACGGUUGUCCCGGUUUAAGCGUGUAGGCUGGUUUUCCAGGCAAAUCCGGAAAAUCAAGGCUGAGGCGUGAUGACGAGGCACUACGGUGCUGAAGCAACAAAUGCCCUGCUUCCAGGAAAAGCCUCUAAGCAUCAGGUAACAUCAAAUCGUACCCCAAACCGACACAGGUGGUCAGGUAGAGAAUACCAAGGCGCUUGAGAGAACUCGGGUGAAGGAACUAGGCAAAAUGGUGCCGUAACUUCGGGAGAAGGCACGCUGAUAUGUAGGUGAAGUCCCUCGCGGAUGGAGCUGAAAUCAGUCGAAGAUACCAGCUGGCUGCAACUGUUUAUUAAAAACACAGCACUGUGCAAACACGAAAGUGGACGUAUACGGUGUGACGCCUGCCCGGUGCCGGAAGGUUAAUUGAUGGGGUUAGCCGCAAGGCGAAGCUCUUGAUCGAAGCCCCGGUAAACGGCGGCCGUAACUAUAACGGUCCUAAGGUAGCGAAAUUCCUUGUCGGGUAAGUUCCGACCUGCACGAAUGGCGUAAUGAUGGCCAGGCUGUCUCCACCCGAGACUCAGUGAAAUUGAACUCGCUGUGAAGAUGCAGUGUACCCGCGGCAAGACGGAAAGACCCCGUGAACCUUUACUAUAGCUUGACACUGAACAUUGAGCCUUGAUGUGUAGGAUAGGUGGGAGGCUUUGAAGUGUGGACGCCAGUCUGCAUGGAGCCGACCUUGAAAUACCACCCUUUAAUGUUUGAUGUUCUAACGUUGACCCGUAAUCCGGGUUGCGGACAGUGUCUGGUGGGUAGUUUGACUGGGGCGGUCUCCUCCUAAAGAGUAACGGAGGAGCACGAAGGUUGGCUAAUCCUGGUCGGACAUCAGGAGGUUAGUGCAAUGGCAUAAGCCAGCUUGACUGCGAGCGUGACGGCGCGAGCAGGUGCGAAAGCAGGUCAUAGUGAUCCGGUGGUUCUGAAUGGAAGGGCCAUCGCUCAACGGAUAAAAGGUACUCCGGGGAUAACAGGCUGAUACCGCCCAAGAGUUCAUAUCGACGGCGGUGUUUGGCACCUCGAUGUCGGCUCAUCACAUCCUGGGGCUGAAGUAGGUCCCAAGGGUAUGGCUGUUCGCCAUUUAAAGUGGUACGCGAGCUGGGUUUAGAACGUCGUGAGACAGUUCGGUCCCUAUCUGCCGUGGGCGCUGGAGAACUGAGGGGGGCUGCUCCUAGUACGAGAGGACCGGAGUGGACGCAUCACUGGUGUUCGGGUUGUCAUGCCAAUGGCACUGCCCGGUAGCUAAAUGCGGAAGAGAUAAGUGCUGAAAGCAUCUAAGCACGAAACUUGCCCCGAGAUGAGUUCUCCCUGACUCCUUGAGAGUCCUGAAGGAACGUUGAAGACGACGACGUUGAUAGGCCGGGUGUGUAAGCGCAGCGAUGCGUUGAGCUAACCGGUACUAAUGAACCGUGAGGCUUAACCUUACAACGCCGAAGGUGUUU
This 2527-nucleotide ribosomal RNA is filed under the name Escherichia coli. RNAcentral's name for it is "bacterial LSU rRNA". It matches the Rfam family "Bacterial large subunit ribosomal RNA", at positions 398 to 2925 of the family's 2925-position model. The record is from RNAcentral. Lineage: Bacteria; Pseudomonadati; Pseudomonadota; Gammaproteobacteria; Enterobacterales; Enterobacteriaceae.